UGCUGCCUCAACCAUCCUAGCUACA
This 25-nucleotide non-coding RNA is filed under the name Mus musculus (house mouse). Lineage: Eukaryota; Metazoa; Chordata; Mammalia; Rodentia; Muridae. The record is from RNAcentral.